AUGUACAUUCAUACAACUUAUUGUUAAUGCACCGAAUCCAAUUAGAACUCCGCAGUUAAGCGUGCUUGAGCUAGAGUAGUACUGGGAUGGGUGACUUCCUGGGAAGUCCUAGUAUUUUACAUG
Molecule: non-coding RNA, 123 nt
Organism: Picea glauca (white spruce)
Lineage: Eukaryota; Viridiplantae; Streptophyta; Pinopsida; Pinales; Pinaceae
Source: Rfam